GACGAACGCUGGCGGCGUGCUUAACACAUGCAAGUCGAACGGAAAGGCCCUGCUUUUGUGGGGUGCUCGAGUGGCGAACGGGUGAGUAACACGUGAGUAACCUGCCCUUGACUUUGGGAUAACUUCAGGAAACUGGGGCUAAUACCGGAUAGGAGCUCCUGCUGCAUGGUGGGGGUUGGAAAGUUUCGGCGGUUGGGGAUGGACUCGCGGCUUAUCAACUUGUUGGUGGGGUAGUGGCUUACCAAGGCUUUGACGGGUAGCCGGCCUGAGAGGGUGACCGGGCACAUUGGGACUGAGAUACGGCCCAGACUCCUACGGGAGGCAGCAGUGGGGAAUAUUGCACAAUGGGCGGAAGCCUGAUGCAGCAACGCCGCGUGCGGGAUGACGGCCUUCGGGUUGUAAACCGCUUUCGCCUGUGACGAAGCGUGAGUGACGGUAAUGGGUAAAGAAGCACCGGCUAACUACGUG
RNAcentral lists this ribosomal RNA (468 nucleotides) under uncultured bacterium. RNAcentral describes it as "partial 16S ribosomal RNA". It matches the Rfam family "Bacterial small subunit ribosomal RNA", at positions 28 to 507 of the family's 1533-position model. The record is from RNAcentral.